UGUAACAAGGUCUCCGUUGGUGAACCAGCGGAGGGAUCAUUACCGAGUUUUCAACUCCCUAACCCUUCUGUGAACCUACCUAUCGUUGCUUCGGCGGACUCGCCCCAGCCCGGACGCGGACUGGACCAGCGGCCCGCCGGGGACCUCAAACUCUUGUAUUCCAGCAUCUUCUGAAUACGCCGCAAGGCAAAACAAAUGAAUCAAAACUUUCAACAACGGAUCUCUUGGCUCUGGCAUCGAUGAAGAACGCAGCGAAACGCGAUAAGUAAUGUGAAUUGCAGAAUCCAGUGAAUCAUCGAAUCUUUGAACGCACAUUGCGCCCGCCAGCAUUCUGGCGGGCAUGCCUGUUCGAGCGUCAUUUCAACCCUCGACCUCCCCUUGGGGAGGUCGGCGUUGGGGACCGGCAGCACACCGCCGGCCCUGAAAUGGAGUGGCGGCCCGUCCGCGGCGACCUCUGCGCAGUAAUACAGCUCGCACCGGAACCCCGACGCGGCCACGCCGUAAAACACCCAACUUCUGAACGUUGACCUCGAAUCAGGUAGGACUACCCGCUGAACUUAAGCAUAUCA
This 569-nucleotide ribosomal RNA is filed under the name Beauveria bassiana. RNAcentral's name for it is "eukaryotic LSU rRNA". The stretch from base 205 to 358 matches the Rfam family "5.8S ribosomal RNA". Lineage: Eukaryota; Fungi; Ascomycota; Sordariomycetes; Hypocreales; Cordycipitaceae. The record is from RNAcentral.